Molecule: ribosomal RNA, 482 nt
Filed under: uncultured bacterium
Lineage: Bacteria
Description: partial 16S ribosomal RNA
Rfam family: Bacterial small subunit ribosomal RNA
Source: RNAcentral
AUUGAACGCUGGCGGCAUGCUUUACACAUGCAAGUCGAACGGUAACAGGCCGCAAGGUGCUGACGAGUGGCGAACGGGUGAGUAAUGCAUCGGAACGUGCCCAGUCGUGGGGGAUAACUACUCGAAAGAGUAGCUAAUACCGCAUACGAUCUAUGGAUGAAAGCGGGGGACCGUAAGGCCUCGCGCGAUUGGAGCGGCCGAUGUCAGAUUAGGUAGUUGGUGGGGUAAAGGCUCACCAAGCCAACGAUCUGUAGCUGGUCUGAGAGGACGACCAGCCACACUGGGACUGAGACACGGCCCAGACUCCUACGGGAGGCAGCAGUGGGGAAUUUUCGACAAUGGGCGCAAGCCUGAUCCAGCAAUGCCGCGUGCAGGAAGAAGGCCUUCGGGUUGUAAACUGCUUUUGUACGGAACGAAACGGCUCUGGUUAAUACCCGGGGCUAAUGACGGUACCGUAAGAAUAAGCACCGGCUAACUACGUG